GACGAACGCUGGCGGCGUGCCUAAUACAUGCAAGUUGAGCGCUGAAGGUUGGUACUUGUACCGACUGGAUGAGCAGCGAACGGGUGAGUAACGCGUGGGGAAUCUGCCUUUGAGCGGGGGACAACAUUUGGAAACGAAUGCUAAUACCGCAUAAAAACUUUAAACACAAGUUUUAAGUUUGAAAGAUGCAAUUGCAUCACUCAAAGAUGAUCCCGCGUUGUAUUAGCUAGUUGGUGAGGUAAAGGCUCACCAAGGCGAUGAUACAUAGCCGACCUGAGAGGGUGAUCGGCCACAUUGGGACUGAGACACGACCCAAACUCCUACGGGAGGCAGCAGUAGGGAAUCUUCGGCAAUGGACGAAAGUCUGACCGAGCAACGCCGCGUGAGUGAAGAAGGUUUUCGGAUCGUAAAACUCUGUUGGUAGAGAAGAACGUUGGUGAGAGUGGAAAGCUCAUCAAGUGACGGUAACUACCCAGAAAGGGACGGCUAACUACGUG
RNAcentral lists this ribosomal RNA (497 nucleotides) under uncultured bacterium. Its description in RNAcentral is "partial 16S ribosomal RNA". It matches the Rfam family "Bacterial small subunit ribosomal RNA", at positions 28 to 507 of the family's 1533-position model. The record is from RNAcentral.